AGAGCGGAGGACUGUAGUGGAUA
Molecule: non-coding RNA, 23 nt
Filed under: Cricetulus griseus (Chinese hamster)
Lineage: Eukaryota; Metazoa; Chordata; Mammalia; Rodentia; Cricetidae
Source: RNAcentral